CUCUUUUCUUCCGGGCCAUCAUGGGGUGUGGUGCGCGCCCCCCCAGCUCGCCGCGUGCUCGUCCUUUGCGCGCGUCGCCGUCGGCACGUUGCCACCCGUCUCUUCCGAGUAUGUCCGGCCGCUCGGCUCUACGUGGCGUGGGAGUGGCGCCAGAAUUCAAACGAACAGCCGCAGUUGUAGGCGAGGUCACCGCCUGCUUUGAGCCAAGUCGGCUAGGACUCUCCGUGGCUGGGAGCGGCCUUUACGCGCGGCCCGUGGAGGAGCCUGGCUGGCCCGGUGGCCGGUGCUGCGCUUGGUCCGCGGCGGCGCAGCUGAAUGGACGUCGGCGGACAGUACUAAGACGGUGAAAACCGGAAAGCCCUACGUUUAUCCUUCGUGCACCCUGCGGGUACCGUAUGUCAGCAGAAGGCCACGCUGUCGCGUUCACGCCACCCAACUCCUGUUCAGGCACCCAGCCAGGUCCAGUCCCCCUCACCCCCCCAUUACAGUGUCACUAGUGACAGUUAUUCGCUGACAAUCUUGGGAAGAUACACACUCCAUUUCACAGAAAGGAGGAAGCAGGUCAAAAGCCUCCAGUUGGCCUAAGGUCACACAGCUAGCUAUCCUUGGCUAUUUUCAAGUUUUCUUUCUACUAAAUAAAAAAAAUAAAAAAUAAAAAGAAUAUGGGGCUGGAGACAUAGCUCAGCGGUUAAGGGCACUGGCUGUUCUUCCAUAGGUCCCAAGUUCAAUUCCCAGCUACCACAAGAUGGCUCACAACCAUCCUUGCUGAGAUCUGGUAUCCUCUUCUGGCAUGCAUGCAUAUACAUGCAUGCAGAACACUGUAUACAUAAUAAAUCUUUAGAAAGAAUAAUUCUAACGUCAAAGUUAAUAUUAAAAAAUAAUUCUUCAGGGGCUGGAGAGAUGGCUCAGAGGUUAAGAGCGCUGACUGCUCUUCCAGAGGUCCUGAGUUCAGUUCCCAGCAACCACAUGGUGGCUCACAACCAUCUGUUAUGAGAUCUGGUGCCCUCUUCUGGUGUGCAGAUAUACAUGGAAGCAGAAUGUUGUAUACAUAAUAAAUAAAUAAAAUCUAAAAAAAAAAAAAAAGGUGUGUACCACCACCACCAAGCCCCACUUUAUUUUACAACCCAUAGGCCCACUUGCUCUGGCUGGUCAAUCUCUCAUUCAAACUCUCUUCCCAGGUAAUCCUAGGCUGAGUCAAGCUGACAAUUCAAAUUACCACACUAUUUAAAAUCAAAGAGUCAAGAGGAAAUGCAACAGCUUACUUUACCAAGAUGGCUCCUAAUUGAUACUUGACAGGUGCCCACUGAGAUUCCCAACUGAAAAAUCUCAACUGAAUUCUCGAUAAGUAAAGGCCUUGAAAUCGGG
This 1365-nucleotide long non-coding RNA is filed under the name Cricetulus griseus (Chinese hamster). Its description in RNAcentral is "lncRNA (ENSCGRG00015029845.1)". Lineage: Eukaryota; Metazoa; Chordata; Mammalia; Rodentia; Cricetidae. The record is from RNAcentral.